Molecule: ribosomal RNA, 209 nt
Filed under: uncultured Methanomicrobiales archaeon
Lineage: Archaea; Methanobacteriati; Methanobacteriota; Methanomicrobia; Methanomicrobiales
Description: partial 16S ribosomal RNA
Rfam family: Archaeal small subunit ribosomal RNA
Source: RNAcentral
UCCGUAGCUUGAGCAAUAAGUCCCUUGGGAAAUUCAGCAGCUUAACUGGUGACAGUUCAGGGGAAACUGUUGUUCUAGGGAUCGGGAGAGGUAAGAGGUACUGCCGGGGUAGGAGUGAAAUCCUGUAAUCCCGGUGGGACCACCGAUGGCGAAGGCAUCUUACCAGAACGACUCCGACAGUGAGGGACGAAAGCUGGGGGGAGCAAACC